RNAcentral lists this ribosomal RNA (433 nucleotides) under uncultured bacterium. RNAcentral's name for it is "bacterial SSU rRNA". It matches the Rfam family "Bacterial small subunit ribosomal RNA", at positions 29 to 507 of the family's 1533-position model. The record is from RNAcentral.
AACGAACGCUGACGGCAUGCCUAACACAUGCAAGUCGAACGAAGGCUUCGGCCUUAGUGGCGCACGGGUGCGUAACGCGUGGGAAUCUGCCCUUGGGUUCGGAAUAACUCAGAGAAAUUUGAGCUAAUACCGGAUGAUGACGUAAGUCCAAAGAUUUAUCGCCCAGGGAUGAGCCCGCGUAAGAUUAGCUAGUUGGUGGGGUAAAGGCCUACCAAGGCGACGAUCUUUAGCUGGUCUGAGAGGAUGAUCAGCCACACUGGGACUGAGACACGGCCCAGACUCCUACGGGAGGCAGCAGUGGGGAAUAUUGGACAAUGGGCGAAAGCCUGAUCCAGCAAUGCCGCGUGAGUGAUGAAGGCCUUAGGGUUGUAAAGCUCUUUUACCAGGGAUGAUAAUGACAGUACCUGGAGAAUAAGCUCCGGCUAACUCCGUG